RNAcentral lists this ribosomal RNA (185 nucleotides) under Listeria fleischmannii FSL S10-1203. RNAcentral's name for it is "partial 23S ribosomal RNA". It matches the Rfam family "Bacterial large subunit ribosomal RNA", at positions 1 to 184 of the family's 2925-position model. The record is from RNAcentral. Lineage: Bacteria; Bacillati; Bacillota; Bacilli; Caryophanales; Listeriaceae.
AGGUUAAGUUAGGAAGGGCGCACGGUGGAUGCCUUGGCACUAGGAGCCGAAGAAGGACGGGACUAACACCGAUAUGCUUUGGGGAGCUGUACGUAAGCGUUGAUCCAGAGAUUUCCGAAUGGGGGAACCCACUAUCUUUAGUCGGAUAGUAUCCUUAUGUGAAUACAUAGCAUAAGGAAGGCAGA